Vicugna pacos (alpaca) is the source of this 905-nucleotide non-coding RNA. NCBI's taxonomy places the organism in Eukaryota, Metazoa, Chordata, Mammalia, Artiodactyla, Camelidae. The record is from RefSeq and is a predicted model, not a curated record.
AUGGGUGAGCCUGUUUGUCAUUCUGAAGAAGAUAUUUAGGCUAAGAUUUCAAUUUCAAUAGAGAUGGGAGAGCAAAUGAAUAGUGAAUAAAUCUAAUUUAGAAUUUUGCCUCCGAUGUCUGGUUCUCAGAAUGAUGAUAUAUGGGGAUCCUCAAAAGGGAUGCUAGUCAAAUGGCUAAUGACAAGAAGCACAAGAGGACCACCCUGUUCAGCAUGUCAGGGUGGAAGUCCUAGGGGGAUUUUCUUAUGAUGCUGGACGAUGUCCUGGGAGAUAAAACCUCAGAAGUAUCUGGUUUCUAUUAAAAGCAAGUCUAUAGGAUUAGACGUUUCUUAAUGUGCAAUUAUGAAAUGCACAACACCAGAUGUAGUCACUCAUAUCUUCUUUCCUUUCCCUUCUUUCCUAUUAUUGCUCAGCUUGAUGCUUCCAUGGGGAAGGAAAAACCUCAGAAUCUUAAAGGGGACUGUCAGUUGAUGUUCCUGAAGUACACUCAUGACACCAUCCUGCACGUCUACAUCUCUCUGGUGGACACAUCAUAUCCUAGAGUCCAGUUCUGCAUAGCCUUGUUGACUGCAAAAAGCAUUGAAGGAAGUUAAAAGGGACCCUGCCUGACAGGUAGAACAAGGUGUCUGUUGGCCGUGGUGACUGGUGAGACAUUCAUCCAAGCUAGGGGGAUGUUUCAGAGGUCACUAAAGUGGUGCACUAGCAGUUAUAUCCAUAAAGUGGGUAAAAUGGUAGCUGACAUCACAGAAUCUCAGAUGCUAGGAUGACUCCAGGGUUAGGGACUGGGCUGGAGUCCUAGUGGCAGUUCCUCAUCUGUGUCUGCAAAACGUUGAAAUGUGGCCCACGAAUGUUCUAAAACUGUAGAAAUCACAGAAAGAGAAUGAAGACACCACCACCCACAAUAA